CGCAUUUUUAAUGCUUGUUAUGCUCAUUCAUAUUGAUAAAUAAUAAUAAUUACAACAAUCAUUCUGAAAAGUUCAAUUUAUUUCAUAUAUCGACAACAAAAAUAACCACUAAUCCAUAAUUUCAUAGUUACCAACAACAUAACAAAAUAAUGUAAACUAUUUGAACCGUAUAACUAGUGUUAUUUUGUCUAAUAAUUAGUGAGUUAGAUAGCUAGCUAUAAUACAAGACAAUAAAGGGUACAUAAAAACUUCUGACACUUGAACAUAUGAUGAAGUCUUCCACAUGUCAAAUAUUUCGACAUCAUAACCUGAAAUAAUAAAAUAAGAUGGAUAUCAACAUUAUUUAUGAUAGGACAUAGUAUUACUACUGCUUUAUAACAUUUGACUACUAACAAUCAGACUCUGCACUUUGUCUAUGCACUUAUUUGUAACAAUAGUCCUAUUUGCAAGAAAUUAAAUUGUACAAUUUCGAGCUGGAGAAUAAAAGUAUAGAUCCCAAAAUAUAUGUGCUUCAAAACUUAGAUAUGCAUAAGAAUAAUUUAAAGAUAUUCAACUUAAAGUAAUUGGUUUGAAUCUAAGCUUUCAUGAGGUGCAAGCNNNNNNNNNNNNNNNNNNNNNNNNNNNNNNNNNNNNNNNNNNNNNNNNNNNNNNNNNNNNNNNNNNNNNNNNNNNNNNNNNNNUUAUACAUCUUUUACUUUUAUUUGUUUUGUUUUUGGUUAAGCCCGCUAAAUGAAUAAGAGAAAUUACAUGAAGUUCCUCAAAUAAAAAAUGCAUAGAGGAGUACAAAAUCUAUUUUAAAUUAAGACUACAUAUUAAAAGUUUACUUGGAGAAAGAAUCAACAUUUAUAAACUAAAAUCCUCGCUAGCUAAGUUACAAAUUAAGAAGCUUCAAAGAGAGCAUACUAAUAAGUAGAGUAAUGGCACUGAAUGUUGUAACCAUGACCUAUUAUUUCUUAUGCAGUACAAAAUAAACAUUUACAGUGAAGAGUGCAGAAACGGGAAUGGGCUUUUUGAGUGUUUGUACAUACUUGUUAGAUUUGCCAGAGAAGAUUUCAGGGAUUGAGAAUUCGAUUUGUUGUUCCUAUUGUAUAACAUUUUGCUUAGUAAAGUAAGGUGGUAGAGUUUUCUACCGCAUACAACAAAAGAAAGUUGUAAAUGACCAAACUCGUAUAUUAACAUUCCAUGGAGUACGCAAACAAUCAGAAUGCAAAUAUCGAUGAAAUGAAAGACAAAAACUCAUGUCGAACCUGGCUUGUUGGGUGUUUCUUGUUUUGCUUUCUUUGCCAGAGCCAGGAGCUACUUAGGAGAUGGAGCUGGUCUCUUUUUCUUUUCAACCUUCAUCAUAAAACAUCAAUCACAUAAAAGACGAUGCUAAUUAAGAUAAAUGUAGGCUCACGAGAAAAAAAUGAACAAACAUAAAGAUAAAAAAUUUAGUACUACCUCUUUUUGAUGUAUCUUCUUCUAAAUCUUCAUCUCCAUCCAAAUCAUCAAAAAAAUCCAUUACUUAAGGACCAUAAAAAUCCUAGUAAUCCAAAAUUUAAAAAAAUUAUGUACACCCAGAAAAAAUAUAAGAUAAAGCAUUUCUCCCUGUAUUAAAAGGUAAAAUCUACAUAAUAAGCAUCACAAAAAACUUUAUGAAUGGCACCAUGGCUACAGGCACAUCACUGGAGACAUCAUCACUACCAUCUUCAAAAUCAUCAUCAUCUUUGUUAGAUGUCGGUUCUUUUUUUGGUUCUGCCACCUUCGCAUUUUUCUCAAUAAAUGCAACCUUAGUAAGUGCAGACUUUUUUGAAUCAUGCUUUAUAUCCUUCACAUUAUCCUCAAGUUUUCCAUUUAUGCAUCUAAAACAUUCUCUUCAUGUAAAAAAAUAUCACCUCUAGAAUCAAUUUCAUCAACGCUCAGAUCAUCAAUUGUGCAUACAAUUAAAUACACACUCCCAUUUGUUUUAGUCAUGACUCAUGUAAAAUUUUAAACUCCUUUUCAAGGACCAAGUCAAACAUCAACUAAGGUCUAUCCUCUGCCGGUAGAGUUCCAAUGAUGUAAUUAUUUUCUCCAACAGUUAGGCGUAGAGGAACAUGUUUUACUUCUUUGGCAUACUUCACUUCAUCUAUUGCAGCCUACAAAAUAAAGAUCCCUAAUAGCCAUUUAAGAGUAAAGCCACAUUAUGCUAGCUUGAGAAAGAACACAAAUAUAAUUUAUUUAUUUUUAAAAAAAGAAAGCUAACCUUGUAAAUAUGAAUGAGCUUAUAAAGUUCAGGCUUGAUUUAGAAAUCGUCUUACUUUCACUUCAACACCUAUACAUAGCUCAUGUGAAAGAUAUGUCACACUUUAAUAAAUUAUGUUCAUAUGGUGUAAUUUCUGCAUCAUGAAAAUAAUUGACCAAAACCAUGUUAAGGUAUAGAUUAAAAAAAUAAGCACAUGUAUCAGUGGUUCAAUUUAUGUAUACAUAUACAAACCGAUCUAUACCUUUUUCUAGUUAUUUGGUUUUGAUUCUAGUAUGCAAUUUUAACUCCUAUUUUCUCUGCAUCUAGUUGCUAGAAACAUAAAAAAAUUCCUUUAAAUGAUACAAACAUCUGUAGCAGAAAAAUCAUGACGUCUUAAGCCUUCAAGAUUCAAUCCAUGAAGCUUAACUUUUUUUCUCAGAUACAAUAAUAUACUUUGGAACAUCGUUAGAAACCUGGAGAACAAAAUAACUAAGAUCCUAAAAAGAAACAUAUGUGAUCUUAAAUAUAGUUAGUGUGUUGUAGUCGUAUAAUAUAUGUGCUUUCAAUGUGAGAAAUGUAGAAGAACUAAUUUUAAUAUAUUCAACUUAAAGUAAGUGGUUCGAAACUAAACUUUAAUGAGGUGCAUCUCACAAACAAACUUAAAAGUAUAGCAAUUACAGAUGUAUUGCUAUCUUGAAUUAUGUUUGCAUUUAGGAAAACAACCAAAAUAUGAAACUAUUGAUAUCUUAAUUUAUCAUACGAGGAGUAUUGAGUCUUUCAAAGAAUUAAAAGACAUCAAAAAUUAAGAAAGAAUCUUACCACUGAACCACCACCAAGGAAUGAAAAAGAACCAAUACGGUAAAUUAAUGAACAACAAUAGCUCCUGUAGUGUGGCCGUAGUCCUGUAUGUGAAGAAUUUAAAUUAUCAUCUAUCAGUUAUACUAAAUUUCCAGAAUAGGUCAUGCUUCAUGAAAAUGACUAAAACGAAAUAGUCAACCACAACAUGACCUGCAAGAAGUGUGGUGUUUUUCACUAGAAAGCAAUACAUAUUUUUUCAAUACGUUAAAACUAAAGUGUAUCUAUUUGAAGAUACAAAGAUUUAGUUGGUUGUGUAUAUACAAGGACAUCAAUUAAGAUUUCAGUCUCAAGUUUAUUCAUUUCCAAAUUUUCUAUAAUGGAUCUAAGAACGGAUUGAAGCUUUUAUCUGUAAGAGUUAUUAGCAUUCCACACAAGUUGAAUUAGAUUAGCCUUUUAUGAAACAAAUGCAUUAAUACUACAAAGUAGAAAUAUAUUCUUUUGCUUUGAUAGCUCAUUUAUUUCCUAUUAGUAUAGUAAAUUUUUAAUCAAGCAUGAGUUCAUGUAGGAAUUUUUUUAUCCCUUAUAAACUUAUUAGUGAAUCAAAAGCUACUUAAUCUUUGCAAGAGAGUGAUAAGCAGUAUAACACAAUUAUAGCAUCCAAAUUACAAAUGACAUAAUGCAUGAGGGAUAUCAUAAUAAAAUCAAAUUUCCUAUAACUUCUGGGAUUAUAUUUAUAGGAAAACAAGGAAUUUCACCUCAAAGGGAUAAGGGGCAGAACACAUAGGGUACAACCUCCACUAAUAAUACUGAUAAUUAUCACUAGCGAUAGUAAUAUUUUUGAGAUAGAACAAGAAAUAGUAUUGUUAUACUUGGUGGAUACACUCUACUCCAAGAUUUUCCUGAUCGGGACCUAGACUUUAGGUACUUUCUUAACACAUGAAUUUGUACAUCAGCAAAUCUACACAGGAAAGAAGCACAUACAUGAAGAAAGUAAUCUGAAGAUCUCAUUCAGUAACCUCUAAAAAUUCAUAAGCAUUUUUAUUUCUAAAAUCUUAUACUCUUAGGAAACAUAAAUUGAUUGGAGUACACACACUAAUUCACCAACCUCUAAAAUUUCAAGAGAAUUUAGAUUUCCUAGCUUCUUACAAUUCCGCAGCAAUAAGACUCAAAGUCCUUCAAAUAUCGAUAGUUGAUGUUUGGAUAAAAGACAACUAGAAGGGACACUCUCCUCUCAUCUUCAAUGUUUCUCUCUUUGGUGAAUUCAACAUACAUAAUCUAAUGUUAUUCCUGUUUGAUCAAAAUAUUCAUCCGAGAACCUACGUUAUUUGGUAAUCAUACAGACAUAUAUUCAUGUGUGCUCUAGUUAUAUACAAACAUGAUUAUUCAAGAAAUCACCAUCCAUGUUUUUUACAUAACUUCAAUUAGACUACAGAUCACACAUUAGUCACCUUAUAAUGCAAUAUAUAUUGAUGUUUUCAAGAAAUUAAAACAAAUCUCAAUCACAGAGAGAUCUGAAUGCUAUAGAUUCAGGUAAAAAACAUCAAUUUUUAUUAAUGAUACACAGAGAACUUCUGAACAACCAAAGUAAAGAUAAAAGAAUCGGCGAAACAGAGGAAUCAAAUCAAGUGAUUUUCCAUCAAUUCAACAGCAGUCAGAGAUCAUAUAUUAUGAUUUAACAAACUCAAGAAAUCUAUAAUUUCACAAAUCAUAGAUUGCCAUAGUUAGACAUCACAAAAUGCAAUUUGACAUGGUAUCAAGUAUUUCGGUACUUGAUAAGAAGAAUAUUUUACCAAAAAAGACCAAAAUGUUAAGGAGAAGAAUUAUUAAGGUAACAAUCUGAAACUUACAUGAAUGUAGAAGAUGAAGAUGAUGACAAGGAGAAGAUUUAAACAUCGGUGGUUCAGCAAUAUCGACCUAAAGUCAUGACUCUGACUAUAAAUAGAUGAUGUCUAGUGAUGGGUAAGGCUACCAUAGAAGAUGAUCAGCGUAUAUGGCAGUCAUGGUGCCGCGAGGCGGAGAGCUUUAGAGCAGCAAUGUGGAAUUAGAAUGAGUAGGGUUUUUAGUUAUUUCUUUUGUUAAUUAUUGGAGGAAACAUCUAAUAGUGGUGAAAAACUAGGAGGGAAAAAUGACAAAAUUGUUUUCAAUUAGUAAUUUUUACGUGCAAAUUAUUUUUAUUGUCGGUAAAAAAUAAAUUUUAGUGGCCAAUGUUUAUGGGCCAGUAGUAUCUCAAUGUAAAUAAUUAAUUAGUGGCAAUUGACUUAUUAUCAUUAAAUAAUUAUCGCUAAAAGGCGCCUUUUUGUAGUAGUGUGAGGUUCAUAUGCAAGGCAAUACUAGCAAUACUAAUGUGGGAAUUGUGGAAAAGGAGAAAUGCAAGAAGGCAUGGAAAGGAAAUUACUUUUUAUAAGCUAGAGCAAAAAUGUCAGACCAUAAUAACACAGCUUAUAAGAAGUAAAUACCCGUGGAUAACAGUUCCUAAAGGGUGGGACACAAUUGUAGAGGUACUAAGAAGAUACAGGCCAAGAUUGCACUAUCACGCUGUGAGGUGGAUAAAACCGCAACAAGAUAAAUUUAAGUGCAACACGGAUGAAGCUAGCAGAGGUAACCCACCCUGGAGUAAGUUCUUACAGUUUCUGUAUUCGAGAUUACAAUUAAAGCUUGAUAUAUGCUGAAGCAGAUGCUUUAGGGGAUAGAAACACUAUGAAAGCAGAGACGAUAGCAAUUCUACAGGCACUUAGUUAUUGCAAGAGAAACAAUCUUCAAAACAUCAUUGUGGAAACAGAUUCGUUAGGAAUAACAAAAAUGCUUAGACAGGAAUGGAGGAUCCCAUGGGGCCAGGCAGAUGACAUACAAGAGAUAUAAGAGUUACAACAACAUGUUCAGGCACACAUACAACAUGUAUUCAGGGAAGCAAAUAAUCUAGCAAAUGAGGCAUGUGACCUAGAGGGGAAGAUUCAGACGCAAACAUAUCAACAACUAUGUAAAGGAAUUUUAAAUACUGAUAAAGCCCAAAUACCAUCACUGAGGAUUAGAACAAGGAAGAUUACAGUACAUGGGCAACAUCAUGAGUAGAGAAAGGAAUAAUAACAAAGCAGAACACAGAUAUGAUAUGUACAAUCAGUUUUGCCAAUACAAGGCAUACAUAACUGUGCAAAAGACUACGCUACAUAGCAUGAGCUUUCUCAACUUACAAAUUCCACCAGCAAAAGUUGAUGCCUUCAAAUUCAGAUGGUAUCUGGAGCUGAAGAAGAGAGCACGCUUCUUGGAAUCUCCUUCUCUGCCUCAGCUGGAAAUAAGGAGAUUAGAGGUGGAUGAGAGACGGCAAAAAGAGAACAGAGAAGAAGGAACUCACUCACUUGGAAUCUCUUAUACAGGAAGAUGCAGAUUUGGAGAAAGGAAGAGCUGAGGAGAAGCAGAGGCGGAUGAAUCCACAACACAAGCUCAACAGGUGAACAUAUUGAAGAAAGAGCCGGACCAAAUAGGGUUAAUUU
RNAcentral lists this long non-coding RNA (6489 nucleotides) under Solanum tuberosum (potato). Its description in RNAcentral is "long non-coding RNA (STUB_LNC010133)". The record is from RNAcentral. Lineage: Eukaryota; Viridiplantae; Streptophyta; Magnoliopsida; Solanales; Solanaceae.